This 448-nucleotide ribosomal RNA is filed under the name uncultured bacterium. Its description in RNAcentral is "bacterial SSU rRNA". It matches the Rfam family "Bacterial small subunit ribosomal RNA", at positions 328 to 792 of the family's 1533-position model. The record is from RNAcentral.
UGCCCAGACUCCUACGGGAGGCAGCAGUGGGGAAUAUUGCACAAUGGGGGAAACCCUGAUGCAGCGACGCCGCGUGAGGGAAGAAGGUUUUCGGAUUGUAAACCUCUGUCCUUGGUGACGAAAGAAGACGGUAGCCAAGGAGGAAGCCACGGCUAACUACGUGCCAGCAGCCGCGGUAAUACGUAGGGGGCAAGCGUUAUCCGGAUUUACUGGGUGUAAAGGGAGCGUAGACGGCAGCACAAGUCUGGAGUGAAAUGCCGGGGCUUAACCCCGGAACUGCUUUGGAAACUGUGCAGCUAGAGUGCAGGAGAGGUAAGUGGAAUUCCUAGUGUAGCGGUGAAAUGCGUAGAUAUUAGGAGGAACACCAGUGGCGAAGGCGGCUUACUGGACUGUAACUGACGUUGAGGCUCGAAAGCGUGGGGAGCAAACAGGAUUAGAUACCCGCGUA